RNAcentral lists this ribosomal RNA (440 nucleotides) under uncultured bacterium. Its description in RNAcentral is "partial 16S ribosomal RNA". It matches the Rfam family "Bacterial small subunit ribosomal RNA", at positions 338 to 795 of the family's 1533-position model. The record is from RNAcentral.
CCUACGGGAGGCAGCAGUGGGGAAUAUUGGUCAAUGGGCGAAAGCCUGAACCAGCAACGCCGCGUGAAGGAUGAAGGUUUUCGGAUUGUAAACUCCUUUUGUUAGAGAAGAUAAUGACGGUAUCUAACGAAUAAGCACCGGCUAACUCCGUGCCAGCAGCCGCGGUAAUACGGAGGGUGCAACCGUUACUCGGAAUUACUGGGCGUAAAGAGAGCGUAGGCGGGAUAGCAAGUCAGAUGUGAAAUCCUAGGGCUUAACCAUAGAACUGCAGUUGAAACUGUUAGUCUAGAGUAGGGGAGAGGUAGGUGGAAUUCUUGGUGUAGGGGUAAAAUGCGUAGAGAUCAAGAGGAAGACCCAUUGCGAAGGCGACCUGCUAGAACCUAACUGACGCUGAGGCGCGAAAGCGUGGGUAGCGAAAGGGAUUAGAUACCCCAGUAGUC